CCCGCCGGCGCCUCGCGCCUGAGGGGCCGCCAAUGGCGGCGGUGAGGUGGUGCGGUGGCCGGGUGGGGCUACUGCCUUGGCUGUGGGAUCGAGUUCUCAGCGAUGCGGUGGGCCGCGGGAGAGACUGGAGCGACCGGUUACUUGCUUAGGAUGGAGGCGGGCAACACUAACCGGGCAGCGUGGUGGCUGGAUCCUUCUGGUGCUGCUGCUGGAGUUACUGCUGCCCCAUGAGGAGCUGCUGACCUCCUUUUCCCUCGAGAUUCCUCAGGCAGUGAAGAGCGAUCCCUGCUGUGCAUAGCGUUCAACCCACUGUUGAACCAGCUGCUCUGACAGGAGAAAUACCUGCCCUUGUUCCUUACAGCUGCUUCCAUUUGUAGGUGUGGGACCUUGCACUGCGUUUUCUUGGUCCUCAAGGCAAAAGAGGAUUGUAAUACUAGAUUCAGGACAGCAUCACCCCAGGUUGGUCUAUCAGCAUCUGUGUUAUCCCUGCUCCCUCCAGAAAUGUCUGUGAUGGCCUUUCACUUGCAGCUGAUGCCAGGGAGAUUGAAGAUCACCACAGGAACCAAUGGCAGUGACUGAAGAACCCCAGCAACACUGUCAUGCAACGGAAGUGCUCUAGCUCAGGGUUAGCAGUUGAGGGUAUAAGAAGACAGUGCCAAGAGAGCAUUCCUCAGGGAUCAGAUGUACCCUCUGAAAAUAAAGUAAGGUGGUGUGUUCUGGUGUUAGGUUCAUCAGUUGGGUUUCAUUGUUGUCGUUAUUUUGAACACACAAUAAAGUUAUGUUGGGUCAGAAACUAAA
Long non-coding RNA from Tympanuchus pallidicinctus (lesser prairie-chicken), 798 nucleotides. RefSeq lists it as uncharacterized. Lineage: Eukaryota; Metazoa; Chordata; Aves; Galliformes; Phasianidae. The record is from RefSeq and is a predicted model, not a curated record. The transcript is spliced from 2 exons.